UACGUAGGGGGCAAGCGUUAUCCGGAUUUACUGGGUGUAAAGGGAGCGUAGACGGCUGUGCAAGCCAGAUGUGAAAGCCCGGGGCUCAACCCCGGGACUGCAUUUGGAACUGUGUAGCUGGAGUGUCGGAGAGGCAGGCGGAAUUCCUAGUGUAGCGGUGAAAUGCGUAGAUAUUAGGAGGAACACCAGUGGCGAAGGCGGCCUGCUGGACCGAAACUGACGUUGAGGCUCGAAAGCGUGGGGAGCAAACAGG
RNAcentral lists this ribosomal RNA (253 nucleotides) under uncultured bacterium. RNAcentral's name for it is "partial 16S ribosomal RNA". It matches the Rfam family "Bacterial small subunit ribosomal RNA", at positions 524 to 776 of the family's 1533-position model. The record is from RNAcentral.